AUACGUAGGGUGCAAGCGUUAAUCGGAAUUACUGGGCGUAAAGCGUGCGCAGGCGGUUUUGUAAGACAGUGGUGAAAUCCCCGGGCUCAACCUGGGAACUGCCAUUGUGACUGCAAGGCUGGAGUGCGGCAGAGGGGGAUGGAAUUCCGCGUGUAGCAGUGAAAUGCGUAGAUAUGCGGAGGAACACCGAUGGCGAAGGCAAUCCCCUGGGCCUGCGCUGACGCUCAUGCACGAAAGCGUGGGGAGCAAACAGGAUUAGAUACCCUGGUAGUCCACGCCCUAAACGAUGUCAACUGGUUGUUGGGGAUUUAUUUUCUCAGUAACGAAGCUAACGCGUGAAGUUGACCGCCUGGGGAGUACGGCCGCAAGGUUAAAACUCAAAGGAAUUGACGGGG
Molecule: ribosomal RNA, 395 nt
Filed under: uncultured bacterium
Lineage: Bacteria
Description: partial 16S ribosomal RNA
Rfam family: Bacterial small subunit ribosomal RNA
Source: RNAcentral